GACUCUCGGCAACGGAUAUCUCGGCUCUCGCAUCRAUGAAGAACGUARCGAAAUGCGAUACCUGGUGUGAAUUGCAGAAUCCCGCGAACCAUCGAGUCUUUGAACGCAAGUUGCGCCCGAGGCCUCUUGGCUGAGGGCACGCCUGCCUGGGCGUCACGCCAAAU
This 164-nucleotide ribosomal RNA is filed under the name Puccinellia angustata. RNAcentral's name for it is "5.8S ribosomal RNA". It matches the Rfam family "5.8S ribosomal RNA". Rfam says of the family: 5.8S ribosomal RNA (5.8S rRNA) is a component of the large subunit of the eukaryotic ribosome. It is transcribed by RNA polymerase I as part of the 45S precursor that also contains 18S and 28S rRNA. Lineage: Eukaryota; Viridiplantae; Streptophyta; Magnoliopsida; Poales; Poaceae. The record is from RNAcentral.